RNAcentral lists this long non-coding RNA (3513 nucleotides) under Marmota monax (woodchuck). The record is from RNAcentral. Lineage: Eukaryota; Metazoa; Chordata; Mammalia; Rodentia; Sciuridae.
GGCACACGCUGUUCCCAGCAAACACACCCAGUGCUCUCCUGGUCUGACGCAUGAAGGCUCUUCACGGGGAGAGCUUUUCCUGUCCUCAUCGCUGGUGAAUGAGAAAACAGCUGGGAGAAGUGAAUAAUUUUUGCUAUCGUUGCAAAACGGUGAAGGGGCCAAGCGGAUCCCUGUGUGUUACCUGUGGCGCUAGAACUAGAAGAGGCGUUUUCAUCAGGAGGCUGGGAAGGAUCUUCACUCUCGAAAGCACAGGACGAUUCUAGAUGGAAUGUAAGAGGAUGGGGUUGGGCAUCAGGUCUGAAAAGCACUUCCGGCUUUAAGGCCGAGGGUUUAAAUAAAAGAGGUUGAGUCGUGAAUCUGCUCAGGGGCCGUUAGCACGUGAGGGACGCUCAGCCCUGGUGCACGGCCCGGCGUGGGGGGGCCUCAAGGGUGUGGGCGUGCAUAGAGUACUCAGGAUGGGUGCAGCGGGGAGCCCUGAGGGGCUCAGCCAGCGUCCUCCGCACCAGUGGGCAUGGCUUUACCUUGUCUGUUUCCGUCUAGGAUGCAGGCUCCUCAAUGGCAGAGGGCCUUUCCCCCAAUAUCUUAUUGUUCUCAUGCUGCCUGGAACCAUCAGCAAGUUGCCUUCAUUCAUUUGUUCUGAAAAUAAGCCUUGAGUGUCCACUGUACACUGAGGCUGGAGUCCAGGGUGAGCGGCGCCUGCUCUAGAUCACUCUCGCGAAGAGCUUCGGGAUGCGCAGUUACGGUGACCAAACAACUAAAUCGCCAAUGACCUUUCAUUGAUUUGAAUGUAAAUAUCCACAUGUGUCCAGGGUAUCAUAGUGGACACCACAGGGCUGGGCUAAUCUUAGGUUAUAUUUUGUAAAAGAAAAGAAAAUGUUAUGUACACCGGAGGCCGUGUAUUAUUGUUAAAAGUUUAGUAACAUUGUCCACUGCACAGGAACAAGCGAUGGAGAUCAACGCUAUUCCUAUGGAACGGGCCCCCAGCUGUUCCCAGGCGUCGGGGUCUGCAGGAUGGCAGGCCCUGGUAAGUUCUAAGGGACUGGGGGCAAGACUGAGGUGCAUGCCCAGGGUGCACCUUUACACCUGCACACCACCACCAGGUAACUGCUGCCGACCUCGGCAGACCUGCCCCAGGUCUCCUCGAUGCCUGCUCCUCCGUUGGAGAAGCUGAACACUUCCUAAGAACAGGGAGCCCCCCCCCGGAAGUCCCUUGCCUUCCCCAUUCUUCCUCUGCCUGAGUUUCAGCACGUGUCCACCCGUUUAAGCGACCCUGGUGAGGACGGGGUGAUGGCCCAGCUGGGAGCCCUCAGGAUUCCACCUCCUCCCAGGAUGGACGCCUGAACAACGCCGGAGUUCAGCCCUGGGUGCUGGAGUCUGAGCGGCCCUCGCCCACCACCUGUCCACGCCUCUGCCCAGCGGUCCUGGCACACGGUGAGCAGCUGGGUGUCUGCCCAGGGGCUCGGCUCCUGUGGAGGCCGUGGACCACAGUGGUGUUUCCCUGUUGGACAAGAGCUCUCCAGGGCUAGCGUGGUCUUCUUCGUCUUUGAAGCUCGACACCCAACGCGGUCCAGGGCAAACCCGGAGCUCGAUGAAUGUUUGUCCAGCUGAAUAAGGGUUUAAUCAGGCGCAACCCAGCCCCACACCUCCCUUUCUUGCUUAUUCUUCCAGAGACUACACCUGUCGGUCUGGGCUGCAGGUGACUUGGAGGGGACAUUUAAAGAAGAGAAAGAGUAGGCAGGCAGGUAGCAGCUGAAGCAGGGGACAGGCCCAAGAGAACAAUGUCAACUUGGUAGACGGUGACUGGCAGGGACACAGGGAGACAAACUAACUGAACUCCACCUGCCCUCAUGUCACCUCAGGCUACAGAAAGCUCCUUCCAAGGCCACCUCUCUUGCAAACCCUGGGCCCUUCAGGUCCUUGGCCUCCCUGCCUUCUGCACCAGCUCUUCUUGCAGGGGACUGGGUCUCUAGACCCUGAACUUGGGGACUGACUAACCCCCACAGCUUCACAAACACAGGCCCCCAGUAAGCCAAGUCCAGGUUUAAUUCCAUCCAACCUGGAGGAAUAAGUGACUCCUCAGAGCCAACGGACUGAGGGUUUCUUGGCUCACGAGGAAAAUGUUCUACGAUCACAUGAGCCCAGAGAAAACUCAGCUGGUCAGUGUGGUGUGAGCAGAAACUCUGAGGUGGACCAAGCAUCGAGCUCUGCAAAGCUGAUGUGAUCGGCUCCUGGCCCAUGGACUAAUUCACACAGAACUUAAGACCGUCCCAUCCAGCUGCAGCCCUGGCCGGUCCCCUGUGAUUUCACCAUUGCCUUCUCGCCUGGCUGAACAACUCAGGCGCACCUGGGGCUUCUCCCUGGGAAGUGUAUGGGGUGUGGGAUGCCCAUGCACUGACCGCUUUUCCCCCUCUCAGGGAUUGAGAAGCUGGGGGCCUGAACAGGACACCAGUGUGCCUGGACCACAUGGCCUGGUCUCCAUGGGAAGGUGCCCUGCGAGCUGGGACGUGGCUUCAGCCCUGCCAGGCGCAGGCGGAGGCUCAUCCACGAGGAACAGUGUGGCGGGGCCUUACCUAUGGUGUAGAUCAUAUCGCCCACGGGGCAGGAAGGGUCUGCUUCUCCAAAUUAACUUUCUGAUGGCUUUCCAGUGACAAAAAUAUUGCAGGCAGUUGCAGGGACUCAGGACCGAAUUUUGUUCUCAGUGGUAAUUGCUUCUCAGAUUCUAGGGCCUGGACUCAACCAUUUAUUUGCCCCUUUGGCUGAUUUUGACAGAACAGGGGGAAAGGCCGGCAGCUCCUGGGCACCCUGGUGAGAGAUUCUGGGUCUUGUAGCCCUACUGACCAGCUCCUUGCAAGAAUCCUGCAGGAAUCUAGACAUCGAUGAGAGAUCUCAGGGAUGAGACUGAAUGUCCCAGGCCCUUUACAUGGGACAAGUCUCACCCACGGUCCACAGAAAGCAAGGCCAAGUCCAGUCAAGGCAUAUCGACUGCUAAAGAAAUCUGAAGCGAUGGCAGGUGUCGCUUAGAAAACGAUUUCCUCCACUGAGUGAAAUAGAUAAGCCUCCGUCAUAAAGCCUUUAAUUGCCUGUUAAAUAUUUGACUACACUAAGUAGUUUUCCUUCGGGGCAAGCACUCCUACAUCACAGCAAAGGGGAGGUCUGUAAGAUCCGCCAAAGCCCCUGUGCGUGUAUACACAGCGGUGAGUGGUCAGCGAGCAGACCAUUUUCCCCACUUCUAGGCUUACGCUCAGUGUUGAUUUCUAAAAAUCAUGCCACUUUUACGAGGAAUCUUAGGAGCCAAACCCAUAGAAACAGCAGGCAGAGGGGAGGCUGCCGGGCCCAUGGGGCCGGAGGGUGAGUUGCAGAAAGGGACAGAGUCUGACUUCUGAGGAAGGAGAAGCCGUGGAGCCCGGCACUGUGGGCAGACCCUACACCAUGACCUCGCUGCACCCCCACGGCAGGCAGCUCAAGGGGGUGGGCAGAGGGCUCAAGGCCCACCUGGGCUGCCUUGCUGCUCAG